RNAcentral lists this ribosomal RNA (844 nucleotides) under marine metagenome. RNAcentral describes it as "bacterial SSU rRNA". It matches the Rfam family "Bacterial small subunit ribosomal RNA", at positions 8 to 883 of the family's 1533-position model. The record is from RNAcentral.
AGAGUUUGAUCCUGGCUCAGAAGGAACGCUGGCAGCGUGCAUAACACAUGCAAGUCGAACGCGAAAGGAUCCUUCGGGAUUUGGACGAGUGGCGAACGGGUGAGGAACACGUAAGAAUCUACCUUUCGGUUGGGGAUAACUUCUGGAAACGGGAGCUAAUACCCAAUAUGCUGUGGAGUGAAAGAAUUUCGCCGAGAGACGAUCUUGCGUCUGAUUAGCUUGUUGGGGUGGUAAUGGCACACCAAGGCGACGAUCAGUAGCUGGUCUGAGAGGAUGGACAGCCACAUUGGGACUGAGACACGGCCCAGACUCCUACGGGAGGCAGCAGUGGGGAAUUUUCCGCAAUGGACGAAAGUCUGACGGAGCGACGCUGCGUGAAGGAUGAAGGCCCGUGGGUUGUAAACUUCUUUUCUCGAAGAAGAAAAAAAUGACGGUAUUCGAGGAAUAAGCAUCGGCUAACUCUGUGCCAGCAGCCGCGGUAAGACAGAGGAUGCAAGUGUUAUUCGGAAUGAUUGGGCGUAAAGAGUCUGUAGGCGGUUUAGAAAGUCUUUUGUGAAAUACUUCAGCUCAACUGAGGCUCCGCAAAAGAAACUUCUAGACUUGAGGAAAGUAGAGGUACAGGGAAUUUCCGGUGGAGCGGUGAAAUGCGUAGAUAUCGGAAGGAACACCAAUAUGGCGAAGGCACUGUACUGGGCUUUUCCUGACGCUCAGAGACGAAAGCUGAAGGAGUGAUUAGGAUUAGAUACCCUAGUAAUUUCAGCCGUAAACGAUGAAAACUCACUGUCGAGCCAAUAUAUGGAGCGGUGGUCAAGCUAACGCGUGAAGUUUUCCGCCUGGGGAUUAC